RNAcentral lists this ribosomal RNA (253 nucleotides) under uncultured bacterium. Its description in RNAcentral is "partial 16S ribosomal RNA". It matches the Rfam family "Bacterial small subunit ribosomal RNA", at positions 524 to 776 of the family's 1533-position model. The record is from RNAcentral.
UACGUAGGGGGCUAGCGUUGUCCGGAAUCAUUGGGCGUAAAGAGCGCGUAGGCGGCCAGAUAAGUCCGGUGUGAAAGUCACAGGCUCAACCUGUGAAUGCCGCUGGAAACUGUCUGGCUAGAGUCCGGGAGGGGCGAGUGGAAUUCCCGGUGUAGCGGUGAAAUGCGUAGAGAUCGGGAGGAACACCAGAGGCGAAGGCGGCGACCUGGACAGGUACUGACACUCAACUACGAAAGCGUGGGGAGCAAACAGG